UACAGAGGUCCCAAGCGUUGUUCGGAUUUACUGGGCGUAAAGGGUGCGUAGGCGGUGGGGUAAGUUUGAGGUGAAAGCUCCGGGCUCAACCCGGAAAAUGCCUUGAAUACUAUCCGGCUAGAGGGUUGGAGGGGAGACUGGAAUUCUCGGUGUAGCAGUGAAAUGCGUAGAUCUCGAGAGGAACACCAGUGGCGAAGGCGGCAUCCUGGUCUGCGACUGACGCUGAGGCGCGAAAGCUAGGGGAGCGAACGGG
RNAcentral lists this ribosomal RNA (253 nucleotides) under uncultured bacterium. RNAcentral's name for it is "partial 16S ribosomal RNA". It matches the Rfam family "Bacterial small subunit ribosomal RNA", at positions 524 to 776 of the family's 1533-position model. The record is from RNAcentral.